RNAcentral lists this ribosomal RNA (253 nucleotides) under uncultured bacterium. RNAcentral describes it as "partial 16S ribosomal RNA". It matches the Rfam family "Bacterial small subunit ribosomal RNA", at positions 524 to 776 of the family's 1533-position model. The record is from RNAcentral.
UACGGAGGGUGCGAGCGUUAUCCGGAAUUACUGGGUUUAAAGGGUGCGUAGGCGGCUAAGUAGGUCAGGAGUGAAAGUUUGCGGCUCAACCGUAAAAUUGCUUUUGAUACUGCAUAGCUAGAAUUAGGAUGAGGUCAGCGGAAUGUGGCAUGUAGCGGUGAAAUGCAUAGAUAUGCCAUAGAACACCAAUUGCGAAGGCAGCUGGCUAGACCUGGAUUGACGCUGAGGCACGAAAGCGUGGGGAGCGAACAGG